GUACCUUUUGCAUCAUGGUCUGACUAGUAAAACCAAGCAAAGUGAAAUUUAAGUUUGACUUCCCGAAACUAGACGAGCUACUUCAAAACAGCCUUAUGGGCCAACCCCUCCCUGUUGCAAAAGGGUGGGAAGAUUUUCAAGUAGAGGUGACACACCUACCGAGCCUAGAGAUAGCUGGUUAUUCAAGAAAAGGAUCUAGUCCAAUUUUAAACCUUCUUACAUCACUAAAUACACCACCAGCUUUAAAAUUUAUUCAAAUAAGGUACAGCCUAUUUGAAAUAGGAUACAACCUAUCCAACAGGGUAAUGAUACAUCCACAUGACUAAGUUGGCUUAAAAGCAGCCACCUUUAAAAAGCGUUACAGCUUAAUCACACGAUAUCACUAAUUACCACUAAAACUCAAAACCCUUACCCCCUAUUGAAUGAAUCUAUACCCAUAUAGAAGACCUUAUGUUAGAACUAGUAAUAAGAAAUUUUUCUCCUUAAAGCACGUGUAAGCCAGAAUGAAACACUCACUGGCACUUACCGCCACAAAUGUAUAGUAUUAACCUUGCAAGAAAAAUCUACUAUCUCCAGUCGUUAACCUCACACCAGAGCUUUACCGGAAGAUUUAAAAAGGAGGAAGGAACUCGGCAAAAAAUAACCCCGC
Molecule: ribosomal RNA, 649 nt
Filed under: Choerophryne sp. 1 SR-2009
Lineage: Eukaryota; Metazoa; Chordata; Amphibia; Anura; Microhylidae
Description: partial 16S ribosomal RNA
Rfam family: Bacterial large subunit ribosomal RNA (bases 1-458)
Source: RNAcentral